RNAcentral lists this long non-coding RNA (297 nucleotides) under Olea europaea (common olive). Its description in RNAcentral is "long non-coding RNA (OEUR_LNC007750)". Lineage: Eukaryota; Viridiplantae; Streptophyta; Magnoliopsida; Lamiales; Oleaceae. The record is from RNAcentral.
UUCUCAAUGAAUGUCCGAGAAAUGACAUAACCCAUGUGCACCCCAUCCUAAGAGCACGAUCUCUAGGACGAGUGCACGGGGGCCAGUGACUAUGCCAAUAUUGAUAUACCCCGAGGAGUGUAUCCCGAGGACUCAAUCUAUACCCCACCUCAUUUCUCUUCUUCGGUCCUCGGGGUCACCUAAGUCCUCGAGAUAUUGUAGUCCUCGAGAUACCUCGAGGACACAUUUACAUUCCCUCAAUGUCCUCGAGAAUAGUCCUCGAGACAUACACCACCAACAUACCUCCUAAGACCUGGG